This 208-nucleotide long non-coding RNA is filed under the name Nicotiana benthamiana. RNAcentral describes it as "long non-coding RNA (NBEN_LNC007272)". The record is from RNAcentral. Lineage: Eukaryota; Viridiplantae; Streptophyta; Magnoliopsida; Solanales; Solanaceae.
GGUGUUCUCAUUCCUGACACGGAUCACACAACUCCAGUUCACGACAAUCUCGAAAAUCUCCCUAAUCAAGUUCCUGAUAUUAGUAAUGAAAAUCAAACACAACAACCUAAAGAAACUGAAGUGCCAUUAAGGAGAUCCACUAGAGAGAGGAGAAAUGCAAUUCCAGAUGAUUAUGUUGUAUUUCUCCAAGAACAAGAAAGUGAUAUUG